CUGGAAUGGAGCGUCAUAGAGGGUGAGAAUCCCGUCUUUGACACGGACUGCCAGGGCUUUGUGAUGCGCUCUCAAAGAGUCGAGUUGUUUGGGAAUGCAGCUCAAAAUGGGUGGUAAAUUCCAUCUAAAGCUAAAUAUUGGCGAGAGACCGAUAGCGAACAAGUACCGUGAGGGAAAGAUGAAAAGAACUUUGGAAAGAGAGUUAAACAGUACGUGAAAUUGCUGAAAGGGAAACGCUUGAAGUCAGUCACGUUGGCCGGGGAUCAACCUUGCUUUUGCUGGGCGUACUUUCCGGUUAACGGGUCAGCAUCAAUUUUGACCGUUGGAUAAAGGCUUUGGGAAUGUGGCAUCUUCGGAUGUGUUAUAGCCCUUGGUCGUAUACAACGGUUGGGAUUGAGGAACUCAGCACGCCGCAAGGUCGGGUUUUUAACCACGUUCGUGCUUAGGAUGCUGGCAUAAUGGCUUUAAUCGACCCGUCUUGAAACACGGACCAAGGAGUCUAACAUGCCUGCGAGUGUUUGGGUGGAAAACCCGAGCGCGUAAUGAAAGUGAAAGUUGAGAUCCCUGUCGUGGGGAGCAUCGACGCCCGGACCAGACCUUUUGUGACGGAUCCGCGGUAGAGCAUGUAUGUUGGGACCCGAAAGAUGGUGAACUAUGCCUGAAUAGGGUGAAGCCAGAGGAAACUCUGGUGGAGGCUCGUAGCGAUUCUGACGUGCAAAUCGAUCGUCAAAUUUGGGUAUAGGGGCGAAAGACUAAUCGACC
Molecule: ribosomal RNA, 762 nt
Filed under: Hemipholiota sp. 'lucifera'
Lineage: Eukaryota; Fungi; Basidiomycota; Agaricomycetes; Agaricales; Hemipholiotaceae
Description: partial large subunit ribosomal RNA
Rfam family: Eukaryotic large subunit ribosomal RNA
Source: RNAcentral